RNAcentral lists this ribosomal RNA (513 nucleotides) under uncultured bacterium. RNAcentral's name for it is "partial 16S ribosomal RNA". It matches the Rfam family "Bacterial small subunit ribosomal RNA", at positions 28 to 523 of the family's 1533-position model. The record is from RNAcentral.
GACGAACGCUGGCGGCAUGCCUAAUACAUGCAAGUCGAGCGAACAGAUGAAGUGCUUGCACUUCUGACGUUAGCGGCGAACGGGUGAGUAACACGUAAGGAAUCUACCUAUAAGCGGGGGAUAACAUUCGGAAACGGGUGCUAAUACCGCAUAAUAUCUUCUUCCGCAUGGAAGAAGAUUGAAAGACGGCUCUGCUGUCACCUAUAGAUGACCUUGCGGUGCAUUAGUUAGUUGGUGGGGUAACGGCCUACCAAGACGAUGAUGCAUAGCCGACAUGAGAGGGUGAUCGGCCACAUUGGGACUGAGACACGGCCCAAACUCCUACGGGAGGCAGCAGUAGGGAAUCUUCCGCAAUGGGCGAAAGCCUGACGGAGCAAUGCCGCGUGAGUGAAGAAGGCCUUCGGGUCGUAAGACUCUGUUAUAAGAGAAGAACAAAUUGUAGAGUAACUGCUACAGUCUUGACGGUAUCUUAUCAGAAAGCCACGGCUAACUACGUGCCAGCCGCCGCCGUAA